Molecule: non-coding RNA, 1188 nt
Organism: Callithrix jacchus (white-tufted-ear marmoset)
Lineage: Eukaryota; Metazoa; Chordata; Mammalia; Primates; Cebidae
Source: RefSeq, a predicted model, not a curated record
GUGAGAUUAGCUCCGCCUUCCCAAUGGCGUCUCUCCCAGAGCUGGAUCUUCCUGGUUGGGGUCAAACUGGUGUAUUUGCUGCCUAGCUCUCUAGCAAGGGCUUCAGUUUGAAUUCUGUGAAGAGCAGGAAACUGGAAGUCUGAAAGUUAAGAAGCCUAUUCAGGGCCUCAGCCAGUCACUGGAAGGACUGCUAGUAAAACCUGGUGUGGUUCUCCCUCCUCUCUCCACAAGGUCUCUUAUUGCAGUAGAUGAACUUGGUGAAGCAGGAUCCUCACCUCUUGGCUGUUACAGUGUCUAAGAUCAUCCUUGUUUUUGAUGAACUUGAUAGUUUUAAGGAACACUGGUUGGAUGUUUUGUAGGAUAUCUCAAUUUGGGUUUAUCUGAUCUGUCAUUUUCAGAGGUGGUGCCAUUGCCAAUUACCCCAGCAUACUCCAGGGACAGAAGCCAGGGUGAGGUAGACUGCAUGGUUUUGCUAGCUGCACUUACAAAGCCGUCAUCUGGAUCAUAUAACCUCUGCAGAAGCUGGACUACCGUACUCUUCCCACUGCCAUUGGGACCGACCAAGGCGACUGUCUCUCCAGACUUAAUUCUGAGAUUCAGACCCUUCAGAAUCUAUUGGAAUGUAUGGAGGGAAAAUCAUAAAACUGCAGUAGGAAUAUGACGAACACAUUUUCAGAAAAUGAAUAUAUAAUUAUAAACCAAAACAAAUUCUUCUGUGGAACUUAAAAAAAAAUGAGAUCUUGUUAUGUUUGUUUCAUGUACAUGUAUAAUAAUAGCUUAAAUAACUUAUAAAAAUAAUAGUAAAAUAAUCUCUCAUUAUCUCUCUCUCUAAAUAAGAGAUCUAAAUUAAGAGUACUCUCAGAAUAUUAACUAGUAAACUGUCCACAUUUUCAACUAAAAUGUUUUAUAUGAAUUUUGACUAUCAAGUUAAUGAAAGUCUUGUCCUAAUUUGUAACAAGUGAAUGAAAUCUUGCCAGAUAUUGUCACAAGCUAUUUAAGGAAGCUCCUUCUUGGAAUAUACUAACAUAAUUGCAAAGCAUAUUUUAAAGUGAAACAACUGGCAGAGUUUCUCAGGGACUCCCAAUAGAUGAUAGUUUAUCAUUAGAAACCCUGGUAGGUCUCAUGGUGACCUAUGAGGAAACAUUUUAAACAUUUGCUCAAUGACUGGAGUUGCUACAGCAUUUAGCG